This 586-nucleotide long non-coding RNA is filed under the name Vulpes vulpes (red fox). RNAcentral's name for it is "lncRNA (ENSVVUG00000000741.1)". The record is from RNAcentral. Lineage: Eukaryota; Metazoa; Chordata; Mammalia; Carnivora; Canidae.
CAGGAAGUAGAAGGGUUCUAUUUUGGAUGUGGCAACUGAUAAGCCUGUUAAGGCCCCGCUUCCUUGGGGAGCAGCUGUGGAAAGGGGUCGUCCCGUUCGCUGGCUAGCAGUUGGGGACCAAAUGAGGGAGGCGCGCUGCAGAGUCCGUAAUCCAGCAUCUGAUGGUAGCUACAGAAAUAUAAAAACGGCGACUGGAAGCAUGGUUACCACGGGAUGUGUUCUUUUAGAUGGAGACCUCUGGUCACACCUCCCUUGAUAACUGAGGUAACAUUUGGCAUUUUUCUGCAGAGCAUCCGGAGAGAGCGGACCUUGCCAGUCUCACCGUUCCGAGGCGGUAGAAGCGGUUAUGCAAGUCGCGUUGUGGGGCGCCCCCCUCCCUCAGAUCACCUGGACAGCUGUCUGCUUACAUGUGAUGACCACAGAUCCAGGAGCCAGCGCUUCUCCUGCACGGCCAGCAGUUCCCGUCUCCAGCUAGUUGGGCACUGUCUUCCCAGGACCGUGCCGUAACUACCUUUCCUGCAUGCAACACCUUGGUUAUGAUUUUGAUAAAUGUUUUCCUGGAAUCAACUUUGAUGUGACACCUUCC